AGGGGAGGAGGCAGGUGUCACAUCUUUCAAACACUAACAUCUUUGUAAUGAAAAUGUUACAAUGAAAAUUGAUCAUCCUACCUCUCAGCAAGGGGGGACUUGUUUUUUUCACCAUUCUUUCUGUCUGUAAAAUGCCCUUUAACCAGUUUCUGUCUCCCCUUUCUCACAUAUCUCUUCUCCGCAUUCUUCAGCCCUUCUCAGCUAACUGAGUAAAAUAUUUGGAUCCAGGAAAUGGCUUGAUUUGAGACGUUCUAAGUUUGGGAGUUUUGUAACGUCAUUAGAUUGGCAUAAACAUAAAUGAUGACAGAAGAAAAUUCAGCACUUCAAUAUGCGAGCGAGUGGAGUUAGCAAAGGAGACAGAAAAAGUAAACAUGGAUGUGAAAUGAAACCUAGUAAAGUAUGAAAUCACAAAAUUCAGUGGAAGAAAAUAAUGCAAAAAAGAAGGAAGUGAUAACUGUAUGAAAUGGUGGCAGUGGAUUGCACAAGAAGAGAACUGAGAACUGACAAUAGGUCCAAGAUUUGAAAACGACUUUGGAGCUCUCUCAAGAAAUCCCUUAUCCAAGAAAUACAGGAUAAAUAGCCAUGUGGAGAUUAUCAACAUCAGGAGUAUAACUGUACAACCAGAGCUGAUGAAUAAAUGUUUAGGUAUUCCUAGUUUUCUUUUUCAAUAAUAUAAAUACAUUUUUAAUAAUGUAUAUGUUCUUCCAUCUCUACUCCAUAUACUUCCAGAACUAAUUUAAAGAUAUUUAGCUACACAGCAAAAUGUCAAACUCAUAACUAGUUUAUCCAUCUAAUUUUUAGUGGAAAUAGAAUUAAUUUUCCUCUAAUUUGUUGUUGGUAUUCUUGCUCUAUUUAAAUACUGAGACAGAGGUCAGUGGAAGGUAGGGGGAGGGAAUUAAAACUGAAUAAAUUUACAGGUUUCUUUCUACUCUAUCACUAUUUACUGGUUCAAUAAUGGAUUUCCAUGGUGUUUAAAAAUCAAUUCCCUGAGGACAGGUUAUAAAAUUUAGAUUGAGUGAGCACUAUCAGAGGUCAAAUUUCUAGUAGGUGGUUAGCUGAGGUAUAUAUUGGCAAAAUAAAGUCUGUAAAUAUGAAAUUAAGUAUGCUUUGCCAGAGAUAAUAUUGCUGAAAGUAGCUUUGCCAAAAUAUUUCUGGAGUUAAAGGUAUGUUCUCAUUAAAGAUGUGGUUACUUAGGUUUAUAAACACUGCGAUUCAAAAUUUCAAGGUUCAACUGUAGUUUAUCUACUCCAUACCUACCUCUAUAAUAAGAUUAAAUUUAACCUGUUCAUUGGGUUAGAGGGAUUUAAAUGACAUAACUCUAGGAAUAUUGUCAACUUUUUAGACAUGCAUUAUUAAUGAAUCGAUUCUUCUUUAAUAAACCUGAACUAAGACAAUUUUCCAUGGCAGUUUUCUCUUUAAAGCAAAAUACAUAUAUGCA
Molecule: long non-coding RNA, 1438 nt
Organism: Callithrix jacchus (white-tufted-ear marmoset)
Lineage: Eukaryota; Metazoa; Chordata; Mammalia; Primates; Cebidae
Source: Ensembl